Molecule: unclassified non-coding RNA, 570 nt
Filed under: Hevea brasiliensis (rubber tree)
Lineage: Eukaryota; Viridiplantae; Streptophyta; Magnoliopsida; Malpighiales; Euphorbiaceae
Source: RNAcentral
GUGUGUCAGUAACCUGGCCAACUAUGAUGCCAGAUGGUGGAUAUGAGAACUUGGGCAUGCUAGACACUAAUAAUGAUGUGACAAUAUUUGAAAAUGAGAGAGAUUUUCUGAACACAUUAUUAAACACCUAUCAAUAUCCGAUCUUUCGAUAACUAAUGACUGUUUAAUGAGAGAAAUAUUAUGCAGUAUCAUAACAUUACCAAUAAACAAUAUGGAUAAUCAAGUAAUCAAAACCACAUAAACAGGAUGUGAAUAGUUAAAUUCUUUAUCCUAUGAAAUAAUAAUUAAAAAACGUGAAUAUGAGCUGUUGCAUAUAAUUAUAAUUGGCCUCAAAGAAAAUUCUCUUAUUUAUUAUUUGUGUUGUAUCAAACACAAGAGUCUUGUAAAAAAAUGAAAAAAUUUGUGGACAUGUUUUGACAUGCCUACACGUUCCAGCAAUGUGUCAUUUGCAACAUAAGACUGGAUACUGCAGAGGCCCCUUAAGAGAAGUCUGCAUGCUUCAAAACUAGCCACGAGAAUUUGGUGAAUAUAAAACAAUAUAAGGACAUACCUCAUCUAUAUCUCCCAAAG